GCCGGCGUGGUGAAAUGGCAGACACGGUAGACUCAAAAUCUACUGGCCGCAAGGCCGUAUGAGUUCAAGUCUCAUCGCCGGCA
RNAcentral lists this transfer RNA (83 nucleotides) under Spirochaetaceae bacterium. Its description in RNAcentral is "tRNA-Leu". It matches the Rfam family "tRNA". From Rfam's summary of the family: Transfer RNA (tRNA) molecules are approximately 80 nucleotides in length. Their secondary structure includes four short double-helical elements and three loops (D, anti-codon, and T loops). Lineage: Bacteria; Pseudomonadati; Spirochaetota; Spirochaetia; Spirochaetales; Spirochaetaceae. The record is from RNAcentral.